This is a long non-coding RNA of Lynx canadensis (Canada lynx), 3483 nucleotides long. RefSeq lists it as uncharacterized. The record is from RefSeq and is a predicted model, not a curated record. The transcript is spliced from 3 exons. Lineage: Eukaryota; Metazoa; Chordata; Mammalia; Carnivora; Felidae.
CUUGCACAAAAUCAACUUUUAAAAGGCAGGCCAGGUCUACUGGAACCCAGGUCUUUAAGCCUUGAAAGACAAUGCAGCAUGCCUGGAAAAAGAAAAGGUUUUGGGAGCAGACACCUGAGCUCAGUGUUGCCGCAGGACUUCAUGCUAUCCCUGGGCCACAGGUACUUCAGCUCACACUGGACUUGGAGCCCGACCCCACCCAGCUUCCCACUGCCAUCUGGUGGUCAUCUGGAGCCCAGGGCCCAGCUCCUGAUGGGCCUUCAUCAGCAAUCUCCUUCAGAGUGCUGCAAAGCCUGUGGGCAACCCUACUUCCGCCCCUGAAAAAGUUGGCAUGAGAAAGAAAGGCCCGAUAUCUUGCCUCCAAUGGUGGCAGAGAAGUAUGAGCACAAAAAUCCAGAUAAUGUGCCAAACACAAAAACCAGGACUUUAUAAGAAACAACACCGAAGCUGCUGAUGCCUCAAAUCCUGCCUUCCACUGGCAUGUUGGAUCUGGUCACCCAUGAACACAGACAUCAAAGCAAUACCCAUGUGUCUGUGGUGAUCAUGGACAGCAUGCAACUGAUUGUGGAUGAUAGCUGGGCAAAUGGGGAUAUCCAAAUGUCAAUGGGUACUCACUGAAGGAGCAGAAAUAAUAUGGAAGGAUGUACAGGUAAUAUCAGAGUGAACAUUGGAUAAUAAUUUAGUUUUUGAGAUAAUAUCUAGGUGGGUGAGAGUAAUACAUAUUUUUGUGGACAAGGUCUGAGAAGGGUUUAACUACGUGUCUGUAGAUAAUGCCUGACUGAGAGUGGGCAAAUUUAGACUGUGCAGAGGUAAUAUGUCUGCGGAUAACAUCUCGUUUGGUAGAUAACAUCUUCAGAAAACGUGGAUUAUAUUCAGAGGUCUGAACUGAAUGGGGGAAUAUCCAAAUGAUGAUGGUAGUAGCUGAGUAAGCAGAAAGUAAUAUUCAAGUAUGUGUAGGCAAUAUUUAGGUGAGCAUGGAUGUGAGAUGUUAACAUGUUAAGAUGUGAAGUGAGAGAUCAAUCUGAGUAAAAUAACUCAGUGCCUGAGUGAACACACGUGAUAUCUGAGUCUUUGUGGUUAAUAUCUGAAUGUGUGAGACUAAUAACCAUGAUUUUAUGGGUGAUAUCUGGAAAAGGUUAGUUAAGUGAGCAUGGGUGAUAUCUAUGUGUGGAUGAUAAAAUGAAAGCAAGUGUGUCUGAUGGGUGAGUGACAUCUAAAUGACUAUGGGCAUUGUUAAAGUAACUGUGGGUGAUACCUGGUUUUCAGUGGUGGCAUCUGAGUGAACAUUAGCACUCUGGUCUAUGUGGGUAACAUAUAAGAAUAAUGUGGGUAACAUCCACAUUUCUACUGGUAACACUGGAGUGAGCCUGGCUAACAUGUAGUAUCUGAGUGAGUGGCAAACAGUCUUUGUGGGUAACUUCUGACUGCCUGGGUAACAUCCACUCUGUGUAGGUAACAACAUCCAGAUAAGCAAGGCCAAUUCUUGCACCUGUGCUCUGAAUCACUUCAUGUUCUGCUUUCUCAGGGUCCCCUGCUCUGUGGACUGUCCCUGCUCUCUGCUGAGCCUUUGACCUUCCUUUCCUCUGUCUUGGCCCAUGCUGCAUCAACAUUUUCAAAAGACUCUUGCCUCUACUGCACACACAUAUACCCAAAGACAACCCCCACCACAUACCAUUCCUCAAUCCCAUGCUCUUUCUGGCACUAUCCUAUUUUUUCUUUGCUUCUCUCUCCCUCCCAAAUUUCUGGAAAGUUUCAUCUACACACCCUGGUUCACUUCUCAUAACCUCCUCAUGCACCCUCCCAAACCUCAACCAACUGUAGUCAGGCCUUAAUACCCACAACUCCUCUUAAGGACUUCUUUGUUACUGGAUCUGAAGGAUGCUGUUUUGUCCUUAUUCGACUUAUAUCAGCACCAUAUGACAUCACUUAUCCCACCCUGCUUGAAAUCUUUCCCUUCCCUCUGAUGGUUUCAUCAUGGGCUCUCCAUCUUUUUGCCUGGCUUUUAAAUCUCAGUCUUUUUCAGGGUCCUGCCCUGGGACCUGUUUUCUUUUCAUCUUGUCAUCUUUGUAUGAUUUUAGCUAUUCCUGUGGCUUCCAUUACCUUCUGUAGGCAAAGACCUUUUAAGUCUGUAUUCCCAGCUUGCACCCCUCCCCUAAGUUCCUGACCACCAGAUUCAACAGCUUACUGGCUACCCCACCUGGGUAUCUCAACAGCACUUAAACUCAGUGGGUUCCAAAGUGAAUUUAUAGUUCUUCUCUUUCAAAUUUGUUUCUGUUCCUUUGUUAUCUUUCUCAUGAUAUAGCACCAACAUCCAUCUAAUUGUCCAAGCUAGACACCUGGAUGUCAUCCUUUGACCUCUUCCUCCCUCUCCAUUUCUAAUGAAUCCCUACCAAGUUCUGUUGACUCCACUUCCAGAAGUGCCUCUCGAAUCCAUCCACUUCUCUCCAUACCCACUGCCAAAACCUUAGUCCAAGCCCAUAUCAUCUUUUAUCAGAGAAACAGAAUAGCCUUCUAAAGUGUCCACCCCAUCCCCCACCCUUUCAUGUCUUGUCCUCCAAUCCAUCUUCUACACUAUAGAACUAAUCCUGGCUGUACUACAGAGUCUUUCAGUAGUUCCCAUCAUCCUCAGGAUAAAAAUCUACACUCCUUAGCCAGGUCUGUGAGGCUCUUUGUAAACCCUCUAGGUUGGUGCUCAUCCUGAGUGUUCAUUUUUCCUCUCUUUUGAUGUAUGUUUCAGGCACUCAGAAACUGACACACUGAACGAAAGUACCAUGGAUUUUAACUUUGGGCGUUUACACAUAUUGUUCCUCUGCUUAGAAUGCUUCUUGCCUUUCCUGCCCCUUCGCUUGUCUGGCUUUCCCUUGUCUUUUUAAAUUUUUCUUCAAUUACCUUCUCAGGAGGCCCACUUUGACCCCCAAGGCUAAGCUAGACUAAAGCUCCUCUUCUGUGUUCCCACAGCCUUAAUCUAAGGCACAUCCCACUUUGUGCUGCAAUUCCCUGCUUACUUGUCUGGCUCUCCCACUAAACUGUGAACUCCAUGAAAUAGGAACUGUGUUCAUUUUUUCUCUGGUUCAAUAAAUAUUUGUAGAAUAAAGCAAUCUGAGAGUGUGUAAAAACUGGUCUGAGAAAGCAUAUACAUUAUUUUGUGGGAUAAAUACUCAAAUUAAAAUUUAUUGCCAUUUUCCCUUCUUGAACGUGGAAUAAUUUCCUUCUGCUCAGCAGUGCUCCCUCUCUUAGAAUCCCCCUGCUUCCUUUUUCUGCCUACUGAACUCCAACUUCAAGACCCAGCUCCUGGGUUCCCUUGUCUAUGAAGUUCUUGGAUCCCAUCUCCUUUGGAUGCCCACAAUUCAGACCCUCUCCUGGGACUUCUCAGAGGGACUGUGAUUUUCCAACUGGUUUGUCUCCCUUCUGCACUUGACUAUGGACCGAUGAGGGUCCAGACCGGGUCUGUUUCAUCCCUGUGUCCCCAGCACCUAGCUCAGC